UACGUAGGGCGCAAGCGUUAUCCGGAAUUAUUGGGCGUAAAGAGCUCGUAGGCGGUUUGUCGCGUCUGCCGUGAAAGUCCGGGGCUUAACUCCGGAUCUGCGGUGGGUACGGGCAGACUUGAGUGAUGUAGGGGAGACUGGAAUUCCUGGUGUAGCGGUGAAAUGCGCAGAUAUCAGGAGGAACACCGAUGGCGAAGGCAGGUCUCUGGGCAUUAACUGACGCUGAGGAGCGAAAGCAUGGGGAGCAAACAGG
This 253-nucleotide ribosomal RNA is filed under the name uncultured bacterium. RNAcentral describes it as "partial 16S ribosomal RNA". It matches the Rfam family "Bacterial small subunit ribosomal RNA", at positions 524 to 776 of the family's 1533-position model. The record is from RNAcentral.